CCUACGGGUGGCUGCAGUGGGGAAUAUUGGACAAUGGGCGAAAGCCUGAUCCUGCCAUGCCGCGUGUGUGAAGAAGGCCUUCGGGUUGUAAAGCACUUUCAGUGGGGAAGAAAGCCUUGGGGCUAAUACCCUCGAGGAAGGACAUCACCCACAGAAGAAGCACCGGCUAACUCCGUGCCAGCAGCCGCGGUAAUACGGAGGGUGCGAGCGUUAAUCGGAAUUACUGGGCGUAAAGCGCGCGUAGGCGGUCUGAUAAGCCGGUUGUGAAAGCCCCGGGCUCAACCUGGGAACGGCAUCCGGAACUGUCAGGCUAGAGUGCAGGAGAGGAGGGUAGAAUUCCCGGUGUAGCGGUGAAAUGCGUAGAGAUCGGGAGGAAUACCAGUGGCGAAGGCGGCCUUCUGGACUGACACUGACGCUGAGGUGCGAAAGCGUGGGUAGCAAACAGGAUUAGAUACCCCGGUAGUC
RNAcentral lists this ribosomal RNA (465 nucleotides) under Vreelandella stevensii. RNAcentral describes it as "partial 16S ribosomal RNA". It matches the Rfam family "Bacterial small subunit ribosomal RNA", at positions 338 to 795 of the family's 1533-position model. The record is from RNAcentral. Lineage: Bacteria; Pseudomonadati; Pseudomonadota; Gammaproteobacteria; Oceanospirillales; Halomonadaceae.